RNAcentral lists this ribosomal RNA (505 nucleotides) under uncultured bacterium. Its description in RNAcentral is "partial 16S ribosomal RNA". It matches the Rfam family "Bacterial small subunit ribosomal RNA", at positions 29 to 523 of the family's 1533-position model. The record is from RNAcentral.
AGUGAACGCUGGCGGUAGGCCUAACACAUGCAAGUCGAACGGUAGCACAGGAGAGCUUGCUCUCUGGGUGGCGAGUGGCGGACGGGUGAGGAAUACAUCGGAAUCUACUUUUUCGUGGGGGAUAACGUAGGGAAACUUACGCUAAUACCGCAUACGACCUACGGGUGAAAGCAGGGGAUCUUCGGACCUUGCGCGAUUGAAUGAGCCGAUGUCGGAUUAGCUAGUUGGCGGGGUAAAGGCCCACCAAGGCGACGAUCCGUAGCUGGUCUGAGAGGAUGAUCAGCCACACUGGAACUGAGACACGGUCCAGACUCCUACGGGAGGCAGCAGUGGGGAAUAUUGGACAAUGGGCGCAAGCCUGAUCCAGCCAUACCGCGUGGGUGAAGAAGGCCUUCGGGUUGUAAAGCCCUUUUGUUGGGAAAGAAUCCAGCUGGCUAAUACCCGGUUGGGAUGACGGUACCCAAAGAAUAAGCACCGGCUAACUUCGUGCCAGCAGCCGCCGUAA